Molecule: ribosomal RNA, 406 nt
Filed under: uncultured bacterium
Lineage: Bacteria
Description: partial 16S ribosomal RNA
Rfam family: Bacterial small subunit ribosomal RNA
Source: RNAcentral
AUUGAACGCUGGCGGCAGGCCUAACACAUGCAAGUCGAACGAGUGGCGGACGGGUGAGUAAUGUCUGGGAAACUGCCUGAUGGAGGGGGAUAACUACUGGAAACGGUAGCUAAUACCGCAUACCAUCAGAUGUGCCCAGAUGGGAUUAGCUUGUUGGUGGGGUAACGGCUCACCAAGGCGACGAUCCCUAGCUGGUCUGAGAGGAUGACCAGCCACACUGGAACGGAGACAAGGUGUAGACUACGACGGGAGGCAGCAGUGGGGAAUAUGGCACAGUGUGCGAAAGCCUGAUGCAGCCAUGCCUGGUGUAUGAAGAAGGCAUUCGGGUUGGAAAGUACUUUCAGCGGGGAGGCGUUACCCUCAGAAGAAGAACCGGCUAACUCCGUGCAAGCAGCCGCGGUAAUAC